GAUGAACGCUGGCGGCGUGCCUAAUACAUGCAAGUCGAGCGAACGGACGAGAAGCUUGCUUCUCUGAUGUUAGCGGCGGACGGGUGAGUAACACGUGGAUAACCUACCUAUAAGACUGGGAUAACUUCGGGAAACCGGAUCUAAUACCGGAUGAUAUUUUGAACCGCAUGGUUCAAAAGUGAAAGACGGUCUUGCUGUCACUUAUAGAUGGAUCCGCGCUGCAUUAGCUAGUUGGUAAGGUAACGGCUUACCAAGGCAACGAUGCAUAGCCGACCUGAGAGGGUGAUCCGCCACACUGGAACUGAGACACGGUCCAGACUCCUACGGGAGGCAGCAGUAGGGAAUCUUCCGCAAAGGGCGAAAGCCUGACGGAGCAACGCCGCGUGAGUGAUGAAGGUCUUCGGAUCGUAAAACUCUGUUAUUAGGGAAGAACAUAUGUGUAAGUAACUGUGCACAUCUUGACGGUACCUAAUCAGAAAGCCACGGCUAACUACGUG
This 497-nucleotide ribosomal RNA is filed under the name uncultured bacterium. Its description in RNAcentral is "partial 16S ribosomal RNA". It matches the Rfam family "Bacterial small subunit ribosomal RNA", at positions 28 to 507 of the family's 1533-position model. The record is from RNAcentral.